RNAcentral lists this non-coding RNA (62 nucleotides) under Mycobacterium heraklionense. RNAcentral describes it as "Fluoride sequence". It matches the Rfam family "Fluoride riboswitch aptamer (crcB RNA motif)". The record is from RNAcentral. Lineage: Bacteria; Bacillati; Actinomycetota; Actinomycetes; Mycobacteriales; Mycobacteriaceae.
AUCCAGGCAGGCGAUGGAGCUCGCCUUUAACCGCCGCACCGGCUGAUGGCUUCUACCAGGGC